GAUGAACGCUGGCGGCGUGCCUAAUACAUGCAAGUAGAACGCUGAAGGAGGAGCUUGCUCUUCUGGAUGAGUUGCGAACGGGUGAGUAACGCGUAGGUAACCUGCCUGGUAGCGGGGGAUAACUAUUGGAAACGAUAGCUAAUACCGCAUGACAACAGUUAUUGCAUGAUAACUGUUUAAAAGGGGCAACUGCUCCACUACCAGAUGGACCUGCGUUGUAUUAGCUAGUUGGUGAGGUAACGGCUCACCAAGGCGACGAUACAUAGCCGACCUGAGAGGGUGAUCGGCCACACUGGGACUGAGACACGGCCCAGACGCCUACGGGAGGCAGCAGUAGGGAAUCUUCGGCAAUGGACGGAAGUCUGACCGAGCAACGCCGCGUGAGUGAAGAAGGUUUUCGGAUCGUAAAGCUCUGUUGUAAGAGAAGAACGAGUGUGAGAGUGGAAAGUUCACACUGUGACGGUAGCUUACCAGAAAGGGACGGCUAACUACGUG
This 495-nucleotide ribosomal RNA is filed under the name uncultured bacterium. RNAcentral describes it as "partial 16S ribosomal RNA". It matches the Rfam family "Bacterial small subunit ribosomal RNA", at positions 28 to 507 of the family's 1533-position model. The record is from RNAcentral.